Molecule: ribosomal RNA, 492 nt
Filed under: uncultured bacterium
Lineage: Bacteria
Description: partial 16S ribosomal RNA
Rfam family: Bacterial small subunit ribosomal RNA
Source: RNAcentral
AGUGAACGCUGGCGGUAGGCCUAACACAUGCAAGUCGAACGGCAGCACAGUAAGAGCUUGCUCUUACGGGUGGCGAGUGGCGGACGGGUGAGGAAUGCAUCGGAAUCUACUUUUUCGUGGGGGAUAACGUAGGGAAACUUACGCUAAUACCGCAUACGACCUACGGGUGAAAGCAGGGGAUCUUCGGACCUUGCGCGAUUGAAUGAGCCGAUGUCGGAUUAGCUAGUUGGCGGGGUAAAGGCCCACCAAGGCGACGAUCCGUAGCUGGUCUGAGAGGAUGAUCAGCCACACUGGAACUGAGACACGGUCCAGACUCCUACGGGAGGCAGCAGUGGGGAAUAUUGGACAAUGGGCGCAAGCCUGAUCCAGCCAUACUGCGUGGGUGAAGAAGGCCUUCGGGUUGUAAAGCCCUUUUGUUGGGAAAGAAAAGCAGCAGGUUAAUACCCCGCUGUUCUGACGGUACCCAAAGAAUAAGCACCGGCUAACUUCGUG